This is a long non-coding RNA of Loxodonta africana (African savanna elephant), 4593 nucleotides long. RefSeq lists it as uncharacterized. The record is from RefSeq and is a predicted model, not a curated record. Lineage: Eukaryota; Metazoa; Chordata; Mammalia; Proboscidea; Elephantidae. The transcript has 3 exons.
GAAGAUGGUGAUGUAGUGCCGAAGAUCAAGUGAGCUUUUGCUAUAUCCCAUAAUAAGUGAUGCCAAAGGCUCCUGAGAGGACUCCAUCUUGAAUAUCAGCAGGUUCCAUCUUAGAUUCCAGGUGCCCCCAAAAAACCAAACCCAGUGCUGUCCAGUCGAUUCCUACUCAUAGUGACCCUAUAGGUCAGAGUAGAACUGCCCCACAGAGUUUCCAAGGAGCGCCUGGUGGAUCCGAACUGCCCACCCUUUGGUUAGCAGCCAAAGCACUUAACCAGGGUUUCCUCCAGAUGUGCAUGCAACCUAAUUAACAUACACCACUAUUCUGAGAAGUACCCACCCCUUGAAAGAGGCCCACUAAAUAUUCAUUACUCUAUUGUCUCCGCCAAACCCGUAUAAGCCCUAGCCUUGCUUCCCUUUUCAAGUCAGUCUUUUGGAGAGACUUAGAUCCUCGCUGACUCGUUUUGCUUGACUCAAGCAAAAUAAUGUGUGCUGAAGAUAAAGUUUGUCUUUUGCUUGUAUUCUUACUCAGGAAAAGAAAAGGACCCUUUGCGUCAGAUUGGCAAUUGUUAACAAAAUUUGGUGAGCCAGCCAGGAGACUAGGAGCUCAAAUUAGCCCCCAAUUAGGGGACACAGACCAGAGGUACUGAGCCUCCGGAGCAAAACUCUACUCAGAGACAAGCGGCCUACUGGAUCUUUUUGUCUAGUGGAAAUCGGGGAGCCAGAAGAGGCCCUGUCUGAAUAUACCUGCAGCCCCAUCGAAGACCUCCAGUUCUUGUUCAAAAGGACAGAUAAGUAACCCUAAAAGGCCAAAAAACUGAUACUCUCCCCCCAGCUACUUCUCCUCUUGUAUGGAGUAGCAGGACAGUGGGAAGACAACUCUUUAAUCAGAUCCAGUCUGGGCAUAGAACUCAGGGGCAAACUUAACUGUUGGAUGUGUUUUCAUGGACGGCACUCCACCACGACCAGCCACCCCUCUUUUGAGGUUUUUCUGGUUACAAUCUUUUGACACUCCCAAUGCAUAUAUCUCUACUUACAUACAGGUGCCAGUCCUACUGGUGGUGGUAGAGAGGCUAUUUUCCAACCAUGCCUUAUGGUUCAACCCAAUGAACCUUUCCCUAUCCUAUGAUCAAAACAAUAGGGCCUUUAAACUAAGACCCAAGACCCACUAGGCACCAAAAAUUCUAAUUUUCUUUAAUUACACUCACGAACAGAGUUGCAUUCUAACUGAUGGAUCACAAGAAGGUGACCCACACCAAUGGCUCUGCGUGAAGCUCCCUUUUAAUGUAGGUAUCCGAUUAAGCGGUUACCAACUCAACUCCACCACAUUCCAAGUACUGUACUUUAAUGGAACAAGUUCUACCACUGACUGUACUCCUCAAAAGACCAUCUAUAUUUUCCCUUCAACUGCUUCCCAGGUCUGGCUCUUACAACGCUUUAAGAGUCCCGGAAUAUGGAGACCUUCCAAUGUAAACCCAAUUAUUUAUGCUGUAGUCCAGACUCAACAUAGCAGCUCCCUAUUUUCUUGGUUGUUUAAUGCCAAUACCUCUAUGAACCUACACAACACUGACCAUAACCAACUCCUGUGUGCCCCUAAAGGGUUCUGGUUUGCCUGCCUAGACAAAAAUAAUUAUACCUGGGCUUUGGGAUGCCUUGACCUGGCCAUGGUGAAUGUUAGCUGCUUCCUGGGUGUUGUAACACCUAAGAACAAAACUGUUACAAUCUUCCAACCCUCUUUAACACCAAACGCAGGUUCUUUAAGACUCCUUACUCGAAGAAAAAGGGAGCCUAUUGCCCUUAUAGCCCUAGGGAUCACUGCAUUAGUUGGAGCCCUCACCAGACUCACGGUAGGUGUUUAUAGUAAUGCCCAGGUCCAAAAUGUGUCUAAGAUCCUUCAAGAAGUCAGUACUGAUCCAGACAGAGUCUGUUGGCCCUGCAGAAGUCCCUGGACUCGCUAGCCAACAUGGUCAUGGACCACAGGAUUGCCUUAGACUUCUUCCUGGCCGAUCAAGGGGGCAUCUGCACAGUUGCAAACACCUCUUGCUGUAUGUAUAUUAAUACCUCUGGGGAGGUAGAGCUUCGGGCUCAGAGAAUCCUCCAACAUGCUGAACGGUUAAAGACAGCCCAUACCCAAAUGAGUAACAAUAUCUGGAACCAGAUUAAGGGGUACCUGCCUUCCCUGACUUGGUUCCUUCCCCUUUUGGAACCCGCAGUAACAAUCCACCUGUUGCUUUUGUUUGGCCCAUGUUUGUUCAGACUACUGGUCAAAUUUGUGAUUUCCAGGCUUAAGCAAUUCCAAAUAGAGCUCAUGAUGCUACAAAGAUAUCAACCAGCCUCUGCUAUAGAUAACCCUAGGUCCGAUAAAUCUCCAGAACAGGCAGAGAGAGAUUUCUACUCUAUUAGGCAGGACAGCACCCAUUUGCCAGCAUGAAGAAGUUACAGAAGAAGAGACCUUCACCCAUGUUCCCCUUAAGAAUAAAGAGUAUGAAAUCUCUCAGGGAGGAUUGAGACAGAUAGGGUUAACUGUGCCGGUUUUUGGGUGCUGGUGUGCUGAACAAAAGAGUUUUCAAAAGAUUAUCAUCUAGAAGUUGGGUAAACAGGAACCACGCCCUACUGUGACACAGAUAGGGUUAACUGUGCUGGUGGAACAAAAGAGCUUUUAAAAAGAUUACCAUCUAGAAGUUGGGUAAACAGGGACCUACCCUGUCAACAUAAGAUAGGAUUGGGGUAGACCAUGAACUACUAUCUCCUUCUUAGUGUAUUUCUAGUCCCUUCCUCCUUUGCAGGCUCCACAUGCACAGAGGAGCAGAGUGUGACUGCUGUUUGACCUUCCUUAGCCCUCCGAAGAUGGUGAUGUAGUGCCGAAGAUCAAGUGCGCUUUCACUAUAUCCCAUAAUAAAAAUAAAUAAGUGAUGCCAAAGGCUCCUGAGAGGACUCCAUCUUGAAUAUCAGCGGGUUCCACCUUAGAUUCCAGGUACGGGAGAUGAUUGCAUUUAUGUGACCCUGAAGCUGGGUGUGGACCUAUGACUUCUUUGACAAAUGAAAUAUGAGCAGAAGCUAUGAGUGCCACUUCUGGGUAGAAGCACUGAAGAGCCUUGUGCAGUUGUCUGUGCUCUUUGCUCUUCUGCCUUGGCAAUCAUGAAGGCACAUGCUGAUGUAGAACCCUGAUGGGAAAAAACAGAUUGGGAUUCUGAGGUAACACGUGGAGGAUAUCUUCCAGGGAGUGUUUCUUAGCUCUGCAGUGAAUUUUGGAGGACCGAGAAAUAAACUUCGGGGCACUGAGAUUUUUUUGUUGUAUAAAGCACUGAUACUGUUUGUUACUGCAGCAUAACCUAGCCUAUCCUUGUUGCUGUUAUUGUUGUUUUUAGUCGCUGUAGAGUUGAUUCUGACUCAUGGGACCCCAUGUGUGCAGAGUAGAACUGUUUCAUAGGGUUUUCAAGGCUGUGACCUUUCAGAGGCAGAUUGCCAGGCCUGUCUUCCGAGGUGCCUCUGGGUGGGUUUGAACCAUCAACCUUUCAGAUAGUAGUCGAGUGCUUAACUGUUUGUGCCACCUAGGGACCCCAAGCCUAUUCUUACUAAUACAGAAAUCCAUAGUCUGAACUGAAAAUCCAUCUGAAGCAGAGGCGUCUUCAGGGUAUUUCUCUAAUUCUCUCUUCUGGGGAUCAUACUGUCUCUCAUGCAUGGUGUUUCUCCCUCUGCAAGUCAGUGCUAAUCUUCUCUCACUAACAAGCCAGCUUCUCCUGCUUACUUAUAACUUCAGCUUAUACAAGUUCUCUCUUGCUCCAAAUCCAUUUCUUGAGUUUUCACCCUCAGCUCGCAUUGGUAACUGGGUCUUUCUCUCAGUAGGUCUUAUUUCUUAGUUCACAUUCCCUGGGAAAGUGAAUCUGAAUGGAUUAGUUUAUCUUUUCAUUCCAUGUCACCUCAUUCAGUCAUUCAAUUAAUUUUUAUUUGGUGCCUAUUAUGAGCCAGGCACUGUUCUGUAGAGAAUGGUGAACAAGACAGAUAAGAAUCUGUGCUCUCAUGGAGCUUAUAUACUCUAGUAGGGAAGCCAGACAAUAGACUACAAAUAAAUAUAUUGGAUAAUUAUCAAAGAUAACGAUAAAUGCUAUGAAAAAAUAUUUGAGUACCUGUAGCAGACGCUGUAGCUACUUCAUCCUUUUCCCACCAGCAUUUAACAUUCUCAUUCAAGAUGGCCAGAUUUCCAGCUGCCAGAACUUACAACUGCUUACCUGAGGGCUCUCUCUGGAUCCUCCUCUGCCUGGGUGCAGGGCAGACUGGGAGUGCCAGAGAAUUAAGGCUUCCCUACAGUUUGCCCCUCAACCAAUAGCUGGUGUGAGUUGUGGGUAAAAAUCUAGCUCCCUUGCCCCUCAGAUGGGAUAACUUUGAGAUGUGCUCUGCAUUGGUUUCUAGAGUUCCUUAGUGGAUUGAGCUCCAGUUGCCCACAGUGGCAAAUUGUUUCAUAGCACACUUUUAAUGGGCUCCUUCCCUUUCCCACUCCCCCAUCCAUGUUUCCUGGAUCAAGUCCCGAAUAAAGUACUUGCACUCAAAUUCUUGUUUCAGAGUCCAUUUAUAGGGGAAUCCAAGCUAAAAUUUUAU